RNAcentral lists this ribosomal RNA (253 nucleotides) under uncultured Aquicella sp. Its description in RNAcentral is "partial 16S ribosomal RNA". It matches the Rfam family "Bacterial small subunit ribosomal RNA", at positions 524 to 776 of the family's 1533-position model. Lineage: Bacteria; Pseudomonadati; Pseudomonadota; Gammaproteobacteria; Legionellales; Coxiellaceae. The record is from RNAcentral.
UACAGAGGGUGCGAGCGUUAAUCGGAGUUACUGGGCGUAAAGGGCGCGUAGGCGGUUUAAUGGGUGUGAUGUGAAAGCCCUGGGCUUAACCUGGGAAGUGCAUCGCAAACUGUUGGACUGGAGUAUUGGAGAGGGUGGCGGAAUUUCCGGUGUAGCGGUGAAAUGCGUAGAGAUCGGAAGGAACGCCGAUGGCGAAGGCAGCCACCUGGCCAAAUACUGACGCUGAGGCGCGAAAGCGUGGGGAGCGAACAGG